UUGUCUCAAAGAUUAAGCCAUGCAUGUCUCAGUACAAGCCACAUUAAGGUGAAACCGCGAAAGGCUCAUUAAAUCAGUUAUGGUUCCUUAGAUCGUACCCACAUUUACUUGGAUAACUGUGGUAAUUCUAGAGCUAAUACAUGCAAACAGAGUUCCGACCGGAGACGGGAGGAAUGCUUUUAUUAGAUCAAAACCAAUCGGCGUCGGGCGCGUUCGCGCGUCCGUUCGCCGCUCAACUUGGUGACUCUGAAUAACUUUCGGCUGAUCGCACGGUCUCGCACCGGCGACGCAUCUUUCAAAUGUCUGCCUUAUCAACUGUCGAUGGUAGGUUCUGCGCCUACCAUGGUCGUAACGGGUAACGGGGAAUCAGGGUUCGAUUCCGGAGAGGGAGCCUGAGAAACGGCUACCACAUCCAAGGAAGGCAGCAGGCGCGCAAAUUACCCACUCCCGGCACGGGGAGGUAGUGACGAAAAAUAACGAUACGGGACUCAUCCGAGGCCCCGUAAUCGGAAUGAGUACACUUUAAAUCCUUUAACGAGGAUCAAUUGGAGGGCAAGUCUGGUGCCAGCAGCCGCGGUAAUUCCAGCUCC
Molecule: ribosomal RNA, 590 nt
Filed under: Agabus infuscatus
Lineage: Eukaryota; Metazoa; Arthropoda; Insecta; Coleoptera; Dytiscidae
Description: SSU rRNA
Rfam family: Eukaryotic small subunit ribosomal RNA
Source: RNAcentral